Allomyces macrogynus ATCC 38327 is the source of this 72-nucleotide transfer RNA. It matches the Rfam family "tRNA". Rfam says of the family: Transfer RNA (tRNA) molecules are approximately 80 nucleotides in length. NCBI's taxonomy places the organism in Eukaryota, Fungi, Blastocladiomycota, Blastocladiomycetes, Blastocladiales, Blastocladiaceae. The record is from Rfam.
GCCGUUGUAGCUCAGUGGCAGAGCGUCGCUCUUGUAAAGCGAAGGCCUCGAGUUCAAUCCUCGGCUGCGGCA